Molecule: ribosomal RNA, 482 nt
Filed under: uncultured bacterium
Lineage: Bacteria
Description: bacterial SSU rRNA
Rfam family: Bacterial small subunit ribosomal RNA
Source: RNAcentral
GAUGAACGCUGGCGGCGUGCCUAACGCAUGCAAGUCGAGCGAGGACCGCCCGGUGGCAACACCGGGUUGGUGCCUAGCGGCGAACGGGUGAGUAACACGUGGGUAACCUGCCCCCGACACCGGGAUAAGCCUGGGAAACUGGGUCUAAUACCGGAUAUGAGCCUCCUCCGCAUGGUGGGGGCUGGAAAGGGUCUCCGGUCGGGGAUGGGCCCGCGUCCUAUCAGCUUGUUGGUGGGGUAACGGCCUACCAAGGCGACGACGGGUAGCCGGCCUGAGAGGGUGAACGGCCACACUGGGACUGAGACACGGCCCAGACUCCUACGGGAGGCAGCAGUGGGGAAUAUUGCACAAUGGGCGAAAGCCUGAUGCAGCAACGCCGCGUGAGGGAUGACGGCCUUCGGGUUGUAAACCUCUUUUAGCAGGGAAGAAGCGAAAGUGACGGUACCUGCAGAAAAAGCACCGGCUAACUACGUGCCAGCCGC